GCGGUCGUGGUGGAACUGGCAGACACGCUGUCUUGAGGGGGCAGUGCCCAUUGGGCGUGUGGGUUCAAAUCCCACCGACCGCACCA
RNAcentral lists this transfer RNA (86 nucleotides) under Caldalkalibacillus uzonensis. Its description in RNAcentral is "tRNA-Leu". It matches the Rfam family "tRNA". Rfam says of the family: Transfer RNA (tRNA) molecules are approximately 80 nucleotides in length. Their secondary structure includes four short double-helical elements and three loops (D, anti-codon, and T loops). Further hydrogen bonds mediate the characteristic L-shaped molecular structure. tRNAs have two regions of fundamental functional importance: the anti-codon, which is responsible for specific mRNA codon recognition, and the 3' end, to which the tRNAs corresponding amino acid is attached (by aminoacyl-tRNA synthetases). tRNAs cope with the degeneracy of the genetic code in two manners: having more than one tRNA (with a specific anti-codon) for a particular amino acid; and 'wobble' base-pairing, i.e. permitting non-standard base-pairing at the 3rd anti-codon position. Lineage: Bacteria; Bacillati; Bacillota; Bacilli; Caryophanales; Bacillaceae. The record is from RNAcentral.